This 253-nucleotide ribosomal RNA is filed under the name uncultured bacterium. RNAcentral describes it as "partial 16S ribosomal RNA". It matches the Rfam family "Bacterial small subunit ribosomal RNA", at positions 524 to 776 of the family's 1533-position model. The record is from RNAcentral.
UACGUAGGGGGCAAGCGUUGUCCGGAAUCAUUGGGCGUAAAGAGCGUGUAGGCGGCUCGAUAAGUCUGCUGUGAAAGUCCAGGGCUCAACCCCGGGAGGCGGGCGGAUACUGUCGGGCUAGAGUCCGGAAGAGGCAAGUGGAAUUCCUGGUGUAGCGGUGAAAUGCGCAGAUAUCAGGAGGAACACCGAUGGCGAAGGCAGCUUGCUGGGACGGUACUGACGCUGAGACGCGAAAGCGUGGGGAGCAAACAGG